CCACAGCGACACCGUCAGGCGGGCGGGAGCUAACCAACAGUCCACAUUGGCUUGGCUGGCUGACUCCUGCUAGCUUGGUACACGUUAGCCUGGCUGCCAACGAACACACCACGAACAGACACGUAGCCCAGUAGACACGCCGCGACCCUGCCGCUGGAUACCGGGCACAUGUUCGGUUCCUCCGGAGCCACUACUUGGGGGAGGAAGAAAUGCUAUCCACGAAUAGGCAUCUGAGCACCGCGGACUAAAAAAAAACAAAAAACAAAGCUCCCGAUCCAGCCAUGUUCGGCACAGAGUCGUCACUAAGCAUGUUUCUCAACACCCUGACACCCAAGUUCUACGUGGCUCUUACGGGCACCUCCUCCCUCAUAUCAGGACUCAUUUUGGUAAGAGCACACUUUGU
Molecule: long non-coding RNA, 403 nt
Organism: Hippocampus comes (tiger tail seahorse)
Lineage: Eukaryota; Metazoa; Chordata; Actinopteri; Syngnathiformes; Syngnathidae
Exons: 3
Source: RefSeq, a predicted model, not a curated record